GACGAACGCUGGCGGCGUGCUUAACACAUGCAAGUCGAACGGAAAGGCCCUGCUUUUGUGGGGUGCUCGAGUGGCGAACGGGUGAGUAACACGUGAGUAACCUGCCCUUGACUUUGGGAUAACUUCAGGAAACUGGGGCUAAUACCGGAUAGGAGCUCCUGCUGCAUGGUGGGGGUUGGAAAGUUUCGGCGGUUGGGGAUGGACUCGCGGCUUAUCAGCUUGGUGGUGGGGUAGUGGCUUACCAAGGCUUUGACGGGUAGCCGGCCUGGGAGGGUGGCCGGCCACAUUGGGACUGAGGUACGGCCCAGACGCCUAUGGGAGGCAGCAGGGGGGAAUAUUGCACAAUGGGCGGAAGCCUGAUGCAGCAACGCCGCGUGCGGGAUGACGGCCUUCGGGUUGUAAACCGCUUUCGCCUGUGACGAAGCGUGAGUGACGGUAAUGGGUAAAGAAGCACCGGCUAACUACGUG
RNAcentral lists this ribosomal RNA (468 nucleotides) under uncultured bacterium. RNAcentral describes it as "partial 16S ribosomal RNA". It matches the Rfam family "Bacterial small subunit ribosomal RNA", at positions 28 to 507 of the family's 1533-position model. The record is from RNAcentral.